AUUGAAAAGAUCCAGCUCCAUUUGUCCCGUCAGACUGCACUAACCGAAGAGGACAUUCUAAACGUCAAAAAUUUGAAUUUUUUCUCGCCGAGACCUCAAGAAUCCACGGAAACUCUUCCCGGAACCUCAAAUUCUCGAAUUGAUGAGCCAGAGGAGCUCGAGGAGCUCGACUACAACGAAUCACUGUCAGAUUGGUCGGAAUCUCAAAGAAGUGCGGAAGAGCUGGCCGAAGAAGACGAAUUGAAUUUCGUUGAAAAUGGCUUAAACGACGUGAAAAUCGAGUCAGAAAUCGAAGAAACCGCAUAUUUUCCGGCAAUUCCACCGGAAACCGCCGAAAAUGCGUGGGAAAUUCUGAAAAAUUUGCAAAUUUUAAAGGAAAAAGCAAUCAAAACCGAGGAGGAGGAGGAUAUUAUUUAUUUAUCAUCAGAUUCGGAAUCUGAAGAUGCUGAAGCUGAAAGAGACGAUUUUCUGCAAAAAUCCAAUGUUUCUCAGGCGAAUUUCAUAAAACAUUUAUCCAAGGAUCGAGCUCG
This 530-nucleotide small RNA is filed under the name Caenorhabditis elegans. Its description in RNAcentral is "Unclassified non-coding RNA M70.14". Lineage: Eukaryota; Metazoa; Nematoda; Chromadorea; Rhabditida; Rhabditidae. The record is from RNAcentral.